Molecule: long non-coding RNA, 1654 nt
Organism: Diabrotica virgifera virgifera (western corn rootworm)
Lineage: Eukaryota; Metazoa; Arthropoda; Insecta; Coleoptera; Chrysomelidae
Exons: 2
Source: RefSeq, a predicted model, not a curated record
UCCCAUCUCUCUAAGAGAUUUGUUAUUAUUAGCGGGGUGCUAUUGUUAGAGGUGUGAAAUUACAUAAACAAGGGAUUAUUCCAUAAACAGGUAGAUUCUCUUGUUUAUGUAAUUUCACACCUCGCACCCCGCCGAGCUGAAUAUUAAUGAGCCUCUUAGAAAGAUUGUAAGACUAUACCAAGAUUGACUAAAACCACACAUUACCACGGAAUGAUAUAAUUAUUAGAUUUGUGUAAAACACAAACACCACAAAUUAUACCAGUUUGAUUAAAAAGGACAAACAAAAUAUUAAUUUAGGUUUAGAUUCGUUCGUAUUUAGAAAUUAGACAGAAUUAAAAAGAUUCAUCAUCUCUAUAAGAAAAAAAAUUACCUUUUACUAUUUUAUAUAUAGUUUAUUAGCAUAUGUUUAGACCUCUUACCAACGCUAUUCAAUUUUUAAAGAAUAAAGUAUACUCGUAUGUAUAAAUUAAUAAUUUACAACAUUUUGUACCAAUUAGCAUCUAAAUAAUAAUUUAAUUUAAUGCUGUAUUUCGUGUACAUACAGAGUCAGUUUCAAGUAGGGAACGUCCCAAUUAUCUCGUAAACGGCUUGAUUUUUCUAGAUUUUUACAUUGUUGUCACAUCUUCAGUUUUUCUGGAAAUCUAAUGAAAUUUCUUAUUUCAAAUGGAGCACCCUGUAUAUUUCUUGCCUUUUGAAGAGCUUAAGAAAUACUACUUUUCUUGUAAUGUUCCGUAUACGUAAAUGCUAUAAUUUCGGAGCUAUUUCUACAUUUACAUUAUCUUCGUCGAAGUUAAAAUAAUACAUUUAGAUGGAUAUCUGUCAGAAUAACAAAUUUGACGUUUCAAUAAAUUAGUACUAUUGGUGUUUAUUGAAAGUUACAAUGGACCGUACAUCUGAAAAAUAACGAAUUGAUAUUUUAUGGAAAUUAGGAUAGGGUGAUAUGCGUAAAAAUCAACAAGAAACGUGUAAAAUCUUGAAUAAAUUUAUAUCCUAACCGAAAUUCUAUAACAUUUGCUGUCAGUAAAUUAGUGUUAGAUCAAGGAUUUCGAUAGACAUGAAAUUAUGAUGAUUUCACGUCUAUCGUCUAUCGAAAUGAUGAUAAAAAAAGUUUCACUUCUAUCGAAAUGAUGAUGAUUUCGAUAGAUGUGAAGAGUUUGUAGACAUAAUGAUGGACAAUCAUAUUAUAUGGACAUUUUUUAAGUAAAGUUUGUCUUGAGGCAACUUUUUUAAUUAAUGAGAACGUAAAUCAUCAUAAUUGUAAAAUACUGGUCACGUAACAAUCCUCGUUGGAUGUGUGAAUAACACAAACAGUAUCGUAGGGCGUGGUUUUAUCGAAUGGCCCCCUCGAUCACCCGACAUGAAUCAGUUAGACUAUUUCAUAUGGGGUCACUUAAAAAACAUCGUUUAUAAAACACAAAACUUGCCAAUAUUUAGGAAUUAAAAAAUAGGGACUUAUAUGGACAUUUUUUAAGUAAAUUUUGUCUUGAGGCAACUUUUUUAAUUAAUGAGAACGUAAAUCAUCAUAAUUGUAAAAUACUGGUCACGUAACAAUCCUCGUUGGAUGUGUGAAUAACACAAACAGUAUCGUAGGGCGUGGUUUUAUCGAAUGGCCCCCUCGAUCACCCGACAUGAAUCAGUUAGACUAUUUCAUAUG